UNGAUGAAUCAUGGGCCUGACCCAACUGAGC
RNAcentral lists this non-coding RNA (31 nucleotides) under Homo sapiens (human). The record is from RNAcentral. Lineage: Eukaryota; Metazoa; Chordata; Mammalia; Primates; Hominidae.